GAUGAACGCUGGCGGCGUGCCUAAUACAUGCAAGUCGAGCGAACAGACGAGGAGCUUGCUCCUCUGACGUUAGCGGCGGACGUGUGAGUAACACGUGGAUAACCUACCUAUAAAACUGGGAUAACUUCGGGAAACCGGAGCUAAUACCGGGUAAUAUAUUGAACCGCAUUAUUAAAUAGUAAAAGACGGUUUUGCUAUCACUUAUAGAUGAAUCCGCGCUUCAUUAGCUAGUUGGUGAUGUAACGACUUACCAAGGCAACGAUGGGUAGCCGACCUGAGAGGGUACUCGGCCACACCGGAACUGAGACACGGUCCAGACCCCUACGGGAGGGAGAAGGAGGGAAUCUUCAGGAAUGGGCGAAAUGGUGACGGAUCAACGCCGCGUGAGUGAUGAAUGUAUUCGGAUCGUAAAACUCUGUUAUUAGGGAAGAACAAAUGUGUAAGUAACUAUGCACGUCUUGACGGUACCUAAUCAGAAAGCUACGGCUAACUACGUG
RNAcentral lists this ribosomal RNA (497 nucleotides) under uncultured bacterium. RNAcentral's name for it is "partial 16S ribosomal RNA". It matches the Rfam family "Bacterial small subunit ribosomal RNA", at positions 28 to 507 of the family's 1533-position model. The record is from RNAcentral.